AGAUAAUAGGCAGUAACAGCAGUAUACUGUAGGUAGGGGUAAAGGAUAGAUAAUAGACAGUAACAGCAGUAUACUGUAGGUAGGGGUAAAGGAUAGAUAAUAGACAGUAACAGCAGUAUACUGUAGGUAGGGGUAAAGGAUAGAUAAUAGACAGUAACAGCAGUAUACUGUAGGUAGGGGUAAAGGAUAGAUAAUAGACAGUAACAGCAGUAUACUGUAGGUAGGGGUAAAGGAUAGAUAAUAGACAGUAACAGCAGUAUAAUGUAGGUAGGGGUAAAGGAUAGAUAAUAGACAGUAACAGCAGUAUACUGUAGGUAGG
Molecule: long non-coding RNA, 319 nt
Organism: Oncorhynchus keta (chum salmon)
Lineage: Eukaryota; Metazoa; Chordata; Actinopteri; Salmoniformes; Salmonidae
Exons: 3
Source: RefSeq, a predicted model, not a curated record